RNAcentral lists this ribosomal RNA (252 nucleotides) under uncultured bacterium. RNAcentral's name for it is "partial 16S ribosomal RNA". It matches the Rfam family "Bacterial small subunit ribosomal RNA", at positions 524 to 776 of the family's 1533-position model. The record is from RNAcentral.
GACAGAGGAUGCAAACGUUCUCGGAUUUACUGGGCGUAAAGCGCGCGCAGGCGGUCCCGUAAGUCGGACGUGAAAGCCCAGGGCUCAACCUUGGAAGUGCGUCCGAUACUGCGAGACUGGAGUACUGGAGAGGAGAGCGGAAUUCCCGGUGUAGAGGUGAAAUUCGUAGAUAUCGGGAGGAACACCAGUGGCGAAGGCGGCUCUCUGGACAGAUACUGACGCUGAGGCGCGAAAGCGUGGGAAGCAAACAGG